Molecule: ribosomal RNA, 376 nt
Filed under: uncultured bacterium
Lineage: Bacteria
Description: bacterial SSU rRNA
Rfam family: Bacterial small subunit ribosomal RNA
Source: RNAcentral
GUAGUCCACGCCGUAAACGUUGGGCGCUAGGUGUGGGACCCUAUCCACGGGUUCCGUGCCGCAGCUAACGCAUUAAGCGCCCCGCCUGGGGAGUACGGCCGCAAGGCUAAAACUCAAAGGAAUUGACGGGGGCCCGCACAAGCGGCGGAGCAUGCGGCUUAAUUCGAUGCAACGCGAAGAACCUUAACAAGGCUUGACAUACACCGAAAACUCGUAGAGAUACGGGGUCCUUCGGGGCGGUGUACAGGUGGUGCAUGGUUGUCGUCAGCUCGUGUCGUGAGAUGUUGGGUUAAGUCCCGCAACGAGCGCAACCCUCGUUCCAUGUUGCCAGCACUUCGGGUGGGGACUCAUGGGAGACUGCCGGGGUCAACUCGGA